GCUCUUCUGCAUCUCGUGCUGCUGCAUGAAUUUCCCUGCAAAGAUCACCAUGUGGUUCGUACAUGUGGGUCCACGGUCAGGUGACCGCUGGGUAAACAGCGCUGGCAUUUUCCCAUGAGCUGCAAACGUUCAGAGCUCGGCGGUGGAAUCUGCACAUGCCUGGCAUGCGUUUGCCCCUCCUCUGCGGCCCCUUUCCCAAACACCCCGACUCCCCCGCUAGAUCCCUGCCUCCGGCGGGCAGAUCAGAGGCCUCUGUUUUCAGUAAGCACGUCGACUGGGUGGGACUGCCCAUAGACCCUCCAAACGUCCCUCUAAGGCCCAGGGGAACGGGGUGAGGUGCCCAGGAUUUCAGAGAACACAUUCUGGCCUUGCAGAGCAGGAGGGAAGGGGGCAUUCUCUCACAAUGCAUGGGGCCUUUCCUAAACUGCGACCUGCGGUCUUAGGGUUUCAUUACCCACAUGCGCGGGAGGGCUCUCUGGAGACCAAGACUGAGGUAAAAGCAGGGUACCCCAUCUUCGGGCUGCAGGCAGGGAGGAGGAGGGAAGGAGGGCAACCUCCCAGCCAGCAGGGAGAGGCCAAUGGAAGAGUGCAGACAGAAGCAGGUGGGCGGGCAUUGCCAGUGGGCCCACAACAGAGGCCUCCAGGAUGUUCUGAACGCUGUGAUGUGAGGGACCCAGGAACCAGUGCCCGGCUGCUCUCCAUUCUAGAAGUACUGGUUUUGUUCGUCGGAGCUGGGGGAGGGGGUGUCUCCUGUCCUGUGAAGUGCCAAUUCCCCCAGGAAGGGUGUGCUAUCAAGAGUUUACGGACCAGCUUCCUGUAGGACUAGGGCUCUUGGGGUUGCUGACAAGCAGGAGGAAAGAAAGGAGAAAGACAGAGAGUGGUGCCUAGUUUAUCUCCUUUGCAAUUAUGCCCUGGCGGCCUGGACAAGUGGUGAAACAGUCUCUUGAAAAGUAAUUAAGAAAGGCAUGCAAAAAUAGCUAAUAGUUUUUCCCUUAGACCUGACUUUCAUUUACCUACAAGCACCCUCAAAAAAAAAAAAAAAAAAAAACAGCCCAGAUUUGUUUAAAAGAACUGGAUGGUCUAUAAGGAGGUGGCCACGCAGGUGGGAGAAGAGCGGCUAGGGCAGGUGUGGAAAUGAGAUAGAGGAGACAUGGCCACGUGGCCGCAGCAGGGCGGGGAGCCACCUGGAAGGGAGGCCUGGAGGCUGUGGAGGGGGCGGCCAGGAAGGCGGAGGGCUGGCCCAACCUACAGCACGCGCCCAGCCCCAUUCCUGGGCUCAGCGGGUUGCAGGGAAAGCCUGGGGCGCAGCUCCGGGAGCGCUCUGAUCGUUAAUAGAAAGGAAAGGUAGAGAAUAUUGAAUUUCUGAUUAGGCCUGCUGCCUGAUGCUCAUAGGCUCAGCUCUGAGUCCUCAUGGACCACGGAUCGUUUUUAUGAGUGGUGAAUAAAUGAUUAUUAUCUCCAUAAUAUCCCCAGCAAAAGGGCCCAGCCGGCGGCGGCUCCAGCGCCAUCCCUCAGGGGGUGGGGAAGAGCUGGGCACAGCAGCCGUUUUCUGCUCCACAGUGGCUCUGGGACUUUCCAGUAAAGCCACACCUGAGAAGGUCAUGAGUGCAGACAGCCAGGGCCUCGUGCCCCUCCUGGCCUAGCUGGGAAGGGGCAGGGAGAGGGGUGUGGCGGUGUCCCCGCGGCCUGUAACUGGCACAGUCCCUCUCCACGCCAUCACGGCUCUGCCCACGACCCGCAUACCCACUGAGGAGGGUGCAGGCUCCCCGCCCCCUCUGAGAGGACGGAACAGAACCCCUGUCUGAAUCGCCCAUUUCUCCAGCAGACACCAGGCCCUGCUGCCCGCGGGUGUCCAGCCUGUGAGGCUCAGAGGCAGGGCCUCGUCUGAGCUGAGUUGGAGUGAUAAGGGGCCGCUUUACUGUCUGUUUGGUAAGCGGAUGGGCAAGCACCUUCCUAAAUGUGAGCCUGUCACAGCAUUUUCUUGUCCUACUGUCCCUCUGGGCACCAUCUCUAGACCCAAGGGCAGCGGAAGCCGCAGGCUGCCUGCCGGGGCCAGAUAAUGCAGGCACAGUGCUGCAGUCACAUUUAAUUUUCUUAAGCUGUCACAUCUCAGCCUUUGGAAGACACCACUCCCUGGAGAAGGGAUCUCAGCCUUGUCUUCAUGGUCCCCCUUCUGUGCGCCAAAUGGCUCCAGCUCCUAACGUCUGCGAUGGGUCAUCAAUUAGCCCGGUGAAUUUCAGGAUCACCAGCGUCCACCCGACACGAAGAGAAGACCCAGGCCAGAGCUUCCAAAGGCCAGCAAAAACCCCUGGGCCCUGGCACUGUCUCAGAUGCUGGCUCUAAGAAAAAGCAGGGCUUUCUGGUCCCCGUCAGCCUCUUGUGCAUGCAGUUUCCUUCCUCUGGUUUUGUAAUCUCUGUUAAUUGCCAGGCACUUUCCAUUGUAUGUGACUUCAUCGUGGACUCAAGGCUCCGUCAGUUCAGCGAGUGGGGACUGAGCCAAACAGUGUUCUGAUCAACUUCACCCUCCAGUGUGUUCUGGGCUCACUCAGCACAAACAGGCACUGCUUUUCCAUGCACGCGGCCAGCUCCCCGGACGAGCCUGAGGCCCCCUCUGCCGGCCGCCGGCCUCCAUGGCACCCAGCGACGGGCCCCGCGAGGUGGUGCCCGUCAGCCCAUCUGUACCUAUGGAAGUAAACUCAGAAAGUUAUCAGGCAUUUUUUCUUAGCACCCUACAAUAGCUGGGAAUGGGAACCCACGCCAGAAUUUGUCCGGCUGGUCACGGUUCACUUGGUGACCCCCACUCCGCUAAGCUGACUGACUUAACCAACCUUCUGUGUUUGUGUGCCACUUCCACGUACACAGUUGAGAUGCGUUCUUGGGGGGCGUCACAUACUCUGCAUGAAGUGUGGCAGCUCCUCCCGCAGGCGCCCGUGAGCCCUGUUGUGUUAGGUCCGUGUUCUGUUUGCUCCUUCACUCAGACAUCUCCGUGAGAGGCCAUGUUGAACACAGAGCCCUGCACAUAGCAACUGCAACUACUUCUGAAUAAAUGUGUCAAGGACUCUUUGAA
This is a long non-coding RNA of Felis catus (domestic cat), 3067 nucleotides long. RefSeq lists it as uncharacterized. The record is from RefSeq and is a predicted model, not a curated record. NCBI's taxonomy places the organism in Eukaryota, Metazoa, Chordata, Mammalia, Carnivora, Felidae. The transcript is spliced from 2 exons.